UAUUUUCUAGUAAUUUUUGGGAAUCCAUGUGUUCCGGAACAAUACAGGAUAAAAACUGUUGGGUUACAAUAGUUAACUUAAACAAGAGCACUGCCCUUUAUGUACUCUGUCAAUGCCAGAGCAACCAGACCUAACAUAGCAAAUCUACCAUUCCACAUCUCAGCAUCAGAUGUCAUUAGUCCCCCUGAUUUUGUUUCAACACUAACUCCUUUGAAAAGUGGCACCAAAGAUGCCAGUGUUAGUAGCACACUUGUUCCCAGGAACCAGGGAACACCGCCAUUAGAUAUCUGCGAAAACACGUCCUGGCCGUUGGAUACUUCCACUGCCAUUGCUGCAACAAAUCCGAUCAUCGCGAGCCUUCCGUUGAUUCUUUCUGGUGCAGGUCCGCUGAAUGCUAGUACAUCAAAAAAGCUUGUGCUUGCCUGUCCAUGCAAAUGGAUACUCCUUUUGUUAAUUUAGAUAUCAAUUACUCCCUCCGUCCCGGUCAAUAGUAUACAUUGGGGAACGGGGGCGUGGCACGGACUUUAAUGCUUCAAUAUAGUAUAGUUCUGUAGAUUAUUUUUAAAAUUUUCUUUUUCUGUAUAAAAGUAUAAAUGUUAUACUUUUAUACAAAAAAAGAAAAUCUUAAAAAUAAGUUGUAGAACUAUGUUUUAUAAGUGCGUUAAAAAGCGUGUCGAGCAGUGAAAAAGAAACGUAUACAAUUGACUGGGACAAAGGGAGUACUACUAUAUAUACCUUUUGAGCUUUAUAUUGAAACCAACAAUAUUUUGUAGGAGUAAUUAAUUACCUUGGGUGUAGGAGGCGGGCUUGAUUCCUCCUUCCGGCCAUCCUAAUUACAUAGUGAAAACAAACAAACAACUUAAUCAAAGCCCCGGGGCUAAACUUAUUUUUCACAAAUAAGGGUUUAUCGGGAGAAAAGUACACAAAAUUCUACUUUUUUUUGAAAUAAGUCAUUUUUUUGCCAAAUAACCAAUAUGAAACCCCUGUUUAACAUUUAUAUCCAAAAAUAUUAUAAGAAAAUACAAUUUUUUAUAAAAAAAAUAAGCCCUUAAAUUUAAUGAGUGAAAUAUGCCACACUGGGUCUAUAUAGUAUUAAGUAUUUAUAUAAUGAAGACAUGCACUACCUUUGCCAUGCACCUGGUUCGAAGGCUAUAAGCACUCCUGGAGAGUGAUGGUGCAUAGUUGGCCGGAACCAAAUUCACCCUUCUUCCGGUGAUCGCCGUUGAUGCAGGAGAUGCUAGGAUCGAUUGCAUGACGGUUGAAGUGGCCAUUGUGAAAUACUGAUACGUAUAUGAUGAGUUGCUUCAAGAUUUGAUCACAGGAUCAAGAACUUGCUUUGUAAAUGCUGAUGGGAUGCUUUAUUUCUCCAGGGAGAUGAAUGUACUUAUAGAAGAAGAGAGCAUGAACAAGUGAAUUUGGUGAUUUUGGUCUCCACGUUACACAAUUUAGGGUUAGUGAUGUGCACUGAGAUGAGGCCACAAUUUUUUGGAAGUAGGUGACGUGGGUGUGUUCCAGCCAGAAGGAAGUGCUCCCAUGAAUCUGUGGCCUGUAGUGUAAAAUGUCAUUAUUCUGUUAGGUUUCAUAAUUGAUGUAGUGGGAAAAGUACCUAUAACUACUGCGUGUCACCAUACAAGGACAGGAAACAAACGAGUCGACAACCACCUAAACUCAUCGACCCAGGAUCUAAGGAAGAGGUUCGGGGUCACGUGUCUCUUUUAAAUUUAUUUUUUUUACAUUUUUUCAUCAUUUUAAAUUUGGUAAAAUUAUAAAAAUUUCCUAAAAAAUUUAAAAAUAUAUAGAUGUUUUUAGAAAAUUUACUUCGCGCCCCCUUAACAUUUGUGUGCUAGAUCCGCUCCUGGACCCACAACUUAUGUCCCAUCGACUGAGGUGCAUAAAUUCAACUUCAUCAAAAGACACGGGGUUAGGUAGACUAGCAUGCUCGAUAAAUACAAAUGUGUUAACAGUUCUAUUCUCGUUCGGACAUCGAAUAUGGGAAAACAAAAACUGAAGUCCAUGUAGAAUUUUUAAUAUGAAUUAUAUUGAAAAUUAUUUAAUUCUCUCAAAAUUUUUAUAUUAUCCGGGCGAGAGCUUAAUUGAAUUAUAUUAUGCCGGGGCUACUUCAUAAGUCAUGUUUAUGCUUAGAAGUUCGUUGACAUUAUAUAAUUUACAUACAUUUUCAUUAAUAUUAUAAAAAUCUAUAAAAUACAUAAUAUUGAGCAUUCUUUUUGUUUGUUUACUUCGUUUCAUACAUUUUCAAAGAUAUAGAAAAACAAUAUCUUUUGUUUACACAGUAUAUUAUUUUUUGAAAAUUAUGUUUUUUUUAAAAAAAAUUAUGUAGUGCAUCUGGACUCAUAAAGGUAAAAACGGACCAGGUUGAAAAUUACUCACUAGUCCAUAUGUCUUGUUUUGAUUAUCUCAUAGUCAAAUCGAUCGAAUUUCGACCACAAAUUACAUAAAUUAUAUAUUUAUUAAAAAUUUAAAAUUUAUAUCAACGAAAAAUAGAUCUAAUAUACUUUAAAAUAUAUUUUUCAGUUUUUGAGAUGAUUAAUAAUUUCAUUUUAAUUAUCGAUCAUACAAUAUUCAAAACAAGACGCGAGAUGGAGAGAGUAGUUUCUUAUGUGUUUGGAAUCAUUCGGAUUCCAAACAGAACGAUUACUUCAUACACGUGUUACGUGUAUAUAUUACUGUAUAACUUUAGUACAAUUCUAAAUUUAAAUAUAAGUUAUUUUAAAAGUUAAAAAAUUUAGAAUGUAUAUAACAUAAAUAAUUUUUAAGCACGUGAGUUUUGAUUAAUUAAUGGACGACAUAUAUAUUUAACUUUUUCAAUUUAUUGUAUGGUCACUACUGUACAUAUAUUUAAUUUUCUUUUUUUUUAAAAAAAUAUUUAAUUUUCUUUUAAUCAUUGUUCUUAAAUACGACAGAUCUAAUAGUGUUUGUUUAGAGACAAAGAUUUGCAAAAAAAGACAUAUCAUAACUUAGAUUUUAGAAAAAUGACAUCCAUUAAAUUGCCUAUUCUAAUAGUGAUUAUUUAGAGACAAAGAUUUGAAAAAAAAAAAAAAAAAAACCAUAACUUAGAUUUUAGAAAAAUGACAUCCAUUAAAUUGCCUAAUAACAGAAUCUUUUGAGGUUAAAAUAAAAACAAAUAAGUGGCUUCGCCCGGGCUCGAACCGGGGACCGUCUGUGUGUUAGACAGACGUGAUAACCAACUACACCACGAAACCAUGAUGUUCUGCAAUUUCAGAUUCUAUAAGACGUCCUGGUGCCAGUUACUUACACUGAUACAUACAGCGCAAAGAGUUUAAUCUGACUCCUGAUUGUUCGGUUAAAUACACAAAAAAAAUGGAGAUAUUGAUGCAUAUAAUUCAUUUCGUUUAAUCUGAUAUAUAUAGAGUAUUGCAGCUGGUAAAUACUCGAUUAACAAUACAUGUUUUUUUUUUCCUGAUAAUUUGGAUUUAUAUAUCUUACAAAUGAGUAUAAUUCUAUUACUUUUCGGUAAAACUUCCGGAGAACACAUGUGUUUGGGGACAAUCCGGGAUAAACCCAUCACUUGGGAAAUGACGCUCAAUGAUACAUGUAAUUUUUAAUUACACCUGUUUAACUUAAACAAGAGCACUGCCCUUGAUGUACUCUGUAAAGGCCAGAGCUACCAGACCUAACAUAGCAAAUCUACCAUUCCACAUCUCAGCAUCAGAUGUCAUUAGUCCCCCUGAUUUUGUUUCAACACUAACUCCUUUGAAAAGUGGCACCAAAGAUGC
RNAcentral lists this long non-coding RNA (3755 nucleotides) under Daucus carota (carrot). RNAcentral describes it as "long non-coding RNA (DCAR_LNC006474)". Lineage: Eukaryota; Viridiplantae; Streptophyta; Magnoliopsida; Apiales; Apiaceae. The record is from RNAcentral.